CGAAAGGCCUAUCGUCUCCACAAUUUCAAAGACAUUCUGUAAUAUCGGCUUGCACUUAGUUCUCCUGCAACAAGGUAUCAAGGUUUAAGGUGGACUUUAAGUGGGUCUCUGACUUGAAUGACUUCAUCGACUCUUCAAUCAUUUCUUUAUUUUAUUUUCCCACCACUCAGUGUAACCGAAUCGACCAGAGGUCUACUGGGUAACGAUGCAGAUGCAGAGAACCUGGCAUAUCAGACGCUAUAGAAACUGGAAAAUAAAUAGAUUUUAUCCUGCUGUGGACAGUGUACUUGUAACCGUUGUAACUUAGCAUUUCUUUGCCGGUGGUGUUUCUUACUAAUAAAGGAUUUUUGUCUCUUGUAUCCGA
Molecule: long non-coding RNA, 364 nt
Organism: Branchiostoma floridae (Florida lancelet)
Lineage: Eukaryota; Metazoa; Chordata; Leptocardii; Amphioxiformes; Branchiostomatidae
Exons: 2
Source: RefSeq, a predicted model, not a curated record